GCAAUAAGAUAUUUUGAUUUUGGCGCCAGGUGUCCUGCCACCAGCUGAUCCCAAGCUUUCUAGACGACCCAGAUCGAGACCCAGAUCCCAAGACACUUCCCUCAUAUUAUUUACCUUUCAUCUUAGGACGCUAGGCUUCGUGGGAUGCUGGGUGGCGAAGAUAGGACACGUAAAUAAUUGGAGUAUCAUUUUAUAACUUGAAGAAUGAUAUGUAAUUUCCUGACAUGAUAAUUUGACGGAUGUAAAUAAACAAAGCACCGCUCUUCCUUUGGAAGACAUCCAGGCGAGACGAGAGAGAGAGAGAGAGAAGAGAGAGAGAGAGAGAGGGGGGAUAUGUGUGACUCCGCUCUGCAUUUCCAAGUAAUUCUCCGGAUUUUACCAGUAGUAAGAAUCAGGAUGGCUGCAGUUGAGUGCAAGGUGUGCAUGGAGAGUUUGACGACCAGAUGUAGUGGCGUGGAGUGGGAGUUGUGUGGGGCUCAAGGCCUCCACCAAGAUGCUGAGCCACAAAAACAUUAUAUUUUUGUGUGGCGAAUGUCUGAAGGCGGCGAAGAAGUUGAAGACGAUGGCGAUAGUGACCAGCAUAAAGGACACGCAGACGGAGUACAUCAAAGAUAAUGAUACACAAGCUGUGAACGCCCGCAAGAGCCUGAAGACAAGGGCAUGCAAACAAAGGAGAAAGACCAGCAACCACGAAGAGUUUCUCCCUGCACGGAGCACCGCCAAGCAAAACCUUAGAGGCACGAGUACGUAAGGUUCCCCAACGCCUGUCUCCUGGCUGCACUUUUAUUAAGCGGAUUCCAAAUACCGAGAUGCUUUCACUGACAUGAUUCCUGAUCCUGAGAAGCAUGCCAUGUACAUUGAUGUUGCUCCUCACAUCGGAACACCUUUGAGGGCACAGAUCAACAUUGCUGUCCCACAUGUCAUGGAAGUGUAUCCCGAAGCCAAGCUCAGAGAAAUGAUCUUCCCAGUUAUAUGGUUUGAAGAUGUAUACUUAAAUGGAUUACUCAUAUUGCCCUAAUUUUUAUUGUGAUACUCGUGCUAUGGUUUUCUCUCUUCCCUGUUGUGUGGUUUGAUGAUGUAUAUAGUGCUGUAUUAUUCAUAUUGUCCUCAUUUUGAUUGUGAUACUAUGGUUUUCUUUCUUUCCAGUUAUAUGGUUUGAUGAUGUAUGUAUGGCUGGAUUACUCAUAUUCCCCUAGUUUUUAUUGUGGUAAUAUGGUUUUGUCUCUGGAGACUCUUACAUGCUUUCCUCUUUAAGGUGUUACAGAGCUUCCUGGAGAUCUAUUAGAUUUGCUGAGCCUUGGUGAAAAUACCCCACUGGUGGUCUAAAUGAGUAUGCUUUUAGCAGCAUUCACCAUUGGAUUCACAAUUAUCCUGUUCGUGAUGGUUAUAUUCUUUGCCACUCACUACAACUUGUCUGUUUCUUACUUCAACCCAAACUCUAUUCACAAGGAUGGCAAAGCAACAAAGAUCAACAAUGCACAACCUCAGGCACACAGACUAGAGUUGUCUAGUCAUGUUAAUACUAUGGUGUCCAAUAACCCAGAGAAUGAUGAUGCCUGACAUCAUGGGACAGACCCACACUCAAGCACACACUCCUGGAGGAACAAUCAUCACUCAGUUGGUCACUUCCCAGAAUCUCAAAAAGCCUCCCAGGGCCAGCCUUAGCACAGAAUGGUGAGGUCCCUCUUUGUAGAUGGAGCGUCCUACAACAUUGCUGGACAAACACCAUCUCUCCUCACCCCAGAACCCACACUCACAAGUACAAGCUGAAUCAUAUCAUGCACACAAUUAUAUGGUUUAUUCAUAACUUCAGUCUGUAGUUUAGUUCAAGUAAAUACAAAUAUCAAAUGUAUUUAGAGAGAUAUUAAUUCUAAUUCUAUUAAUCUUAAAGUACUCAAGAUAAUAGCAUAGUACUGUAAAUUUUAACAUUCAUGAAAUUCAAGUCAGGAAAGUUUGACUUGUGUCUUUGAUUUGGCAAACUUUUAUCAUAUUUAAUCUGAGUGACAAUAUCAUUGUUGUACUGUAAGGUGUAGUAAAUUAUGUGAGAUGGAAUGACCUUUCCAAAUCUUUUGGAAUCCAUAUCAUAUGAACUUUUAGUUAGACUAUGAUGCAACUUUUAUAUGAUGUAGAUAUUGUUUUACACUGACAAUAAAAAGCGAUUUGUUUA
Long non-coding RNA from Scylla paramamosain (green mud crab), 2167 nucleotides. RefSeq lists it as uncharacterized. The record is from RefSeq and is a predicted model, not a curated record. The transcript is spliced from 5 exons. NCBI's taxonomy places the organism in Eukaryota, Metazoa, Arthropoda, Malacostraca, Decapoda, Portunidae.